UCCGAGGGGGGCAAAUGUUGUUCGGAAUCACUGGGCGUCAAGGGAGCGUAGGCGGGCUUCUAAGUUAGGUGUUUAAUCCCGGGGCCCAACCCCGGUCGUGCACCUAAAACUGGGAGUCUUGAAUAGUGGAGAGGUAAGUGGAAUUGGGGGUGUAGCGGUGGAAUGCGUAGAGAUCCCCAAGAACACCAGUUGCGAAGGCGGCUGACUGGACACAUAUUGACGCUGAGGCUCGAAAGCAUGGGGAGCAAACAGG
Molecule: ribosomal RNA, 253 nt
Filed under: uncultured bacterium
Lineage: Bacteria
Description: partial 16S ribosomal RNA
Rfam family: Bacterial small subunit ribosomal RNA
Source: RNAcentral